RNAcentral lists this unclassified non-coding RNA (292 nucleotides) under Glomeromycotina sp. RNAcentral's name for it is "partial contains small subunit ribosomal RNA, internal transcribed spacer 1, and 5.8S ribosomal RNA". The stretch from base 1 to 47 matches the Rfam family "Eukaryotic small subunit ribosomal RNA", at positions 1785 to 1831 of the family's 1831-position model. The record is from RNAcentral. Lineage: Eukaryota; Fungi; Glomeromycota.
AAAGUCGUAACAAGGUUUCCGUAGGUGAACCUGCGGAAGGAUCAUUAACACGUAUCCAUACGUAUUAUAUACCAAACCGUGAACUUGUUUGAAAAUAAACUGAAGAAGGGGGAAGCGAGAAAUCGUGACUUUCUUCUUGUAUCUUAUUUCAACUUAUAAACCACUUGUAACCAAUUGUACUAAACAAACUAAGAAAGUGUAGUCUGUGUGUGUUCUAAACAACAUACGCUUCUUCGCUUUUUGUAUUUACGAAACGUAAAAACAAUUCUUAGCAACGGAUAUCUUGGUUCUC